GGGCCCGCGGGCGUCUGGCGCAGCGCAACGGCGUGCUCGACGUCGCGCAGGCGGCGCUGAGUCAGGCGGUUCAGCUCAACCGCGGGUCCU
Molecule: transfer RNA, 90 nt
Filed under: Jeongeupia chitinilytica
Lineage: Bacteria; Pseudomonadati; Pseudomonadota; Betaproteobacteria; Neisseriales; Chitinibacteraceae
Description: tRNA-Glu
Source: RNAcentral